This 492-nucleotide ribosomal RNA is filed under the name uncultured bacterium. RNAcentral's name for it is "partial 16S ribosomal RNA". It matches the Rfam family "Bacterial small subunit ribosomal RNA", at positions 29 to 507 of the family's 1533-position model. The record is from RNAcentral.
AGUGAACGCUGGCGGUAGGCCUAACACAUGCAAGUCGAACGGCAGCACAGUAAGAGCUUGCUCUUACGGGUGGCGAGUGGCGGACGGGUGAGGAAUACAUCGGAAUCUACUUUUUCGUGGGGGAUAACGUAGGGAAACUUACGCUAAUACCGCAUACGACCUACGGGUGAAAGCAGGGGAUCUUCGGACCUUGCGCGAUUGAAUGAGCCGAUGUCGGAUUGGCUAGUUGGCGGGGUAAAGGCCCACCAAGGCGACGAUCCGUAGCUGGUCUGAGAGGAUGAUCAGCCACACUGGAACUGAGACACGGUCCAGACUCCUACGGGAGGCAGCAGUGGGGAAUAUUGGACAAUGGGCGCGAGCCUGAUCCAGCCAUACCGCGUGGGUGAAGAAGGCCUUCGGGUUGUAAAGCCCUUUUGUUGGGAGAGAAAAGCAGCAGGUUAAUACCCCGCUGUUCUGACGGUACCCAAAGAAUAAGCACCGGCUAACUUCGUG